AGCGAACGCUGGCGGCAGGCCUAACACAUGCAAGUCGAACGAACCUUUCGGGGUUAGUGGCGGACGGGUGAGUAACACGUGGGAACGUGCCUUUAGGUUCGGAAUAACUCAGGGAAACUUGUGCUAAUACCGAAUGCGCCCUUCGGGGGAAAGAUUUAUCGCCUUUAGAGCGGCCCGCGUCUGAUUAGCUAGUUGGUUGAGGUAAUGGCUCACCAAGGCGACGAUCAGUAGCUGGUCUGAGAGGAUGAUCAGCCACAUUGGGACUGAGACACGGCCCAAACUCCUACGGGAGGCAGCAGUGGGGAAUCUUGCGCAAUGGGCGAAAGCCUGACGCAGCCAUGCCGCGUGAAUGAUGAAGGUCUUAGGAUGGUAAAAUUCUUUCACCGGGGACGAUAAUGACGGUACCCGGAGAAGAAGCCCCGGCUAACUUCGU
RNAcentral lists this ribosomal RNA (433 nucleotides) under uncultured bacterium. RNAcentral describes it as "partial 16S ribosomal RNA". It matches the Rfam family "Bacterial small subunit ribosomal RNA", at positions 29 to 506 of the family's 1533-position model. The record is from RNAcentral.